AUGAAAGUACACCUUUUCGGUGCAGCCUCAUCGCCCGGGUGUGCCAAUUAUGGCCUCAAGCAUAUUGCUGCUCAAGGUCGUGGUUGCUUCAGUGAAUCCUCCAUUCGAUUCAUAGAAAGGAAUUUCUAUGUCGAUGAUGGGUUGACAAGUGUCUCAACUGUAGAUGAAGCUAUCAAACUGAUGAAGGAAGCAAGAGAACUUUGUAGCACAGGAAAGCUUCGUUUACAUAAAUUUGUGUCAAGCAGUGAAGAAGUAAAAGCAUCAAUUCCUCUGGAAGAAUGUGCUAAAAGUGUUAUGGAACAUGACUUGGCUUUGGGUGAGCUUCACAUGGAAAGGGCACUUGGUGUGAAAUGGUGCAUCAAAUCUGACAGCUUCCAGUUUAGAGUAUUCGUUAAGGAACAACCACUCACUAGAAGAGGAAUCCUGUCAACAGUGGCUUCUAUAUAUGACCCACUUGGCUUUGCAGCACCCUUAAUUCUUGUUGGUAAGCAAAUACUGCAACAGAUGUGUCAAGAUAAGGUGGGCUGGGAUGAACCACUUAAAGAGGAGUUGUUGACAAAGUGGAAAGCUUGGCUUACAGAUCUGCGAAACUUGGCUGAUGUGAAGAUUCAGAGAUGUUAUCUCCCGUCAACUUUUAAGGAAGUUCAGCGUUAUGAGCUUCAUCAUUUCUCUGACGCUAGUACAUCGGGAUAUGGAGAAUGCACAUAUCUCAGAGCUAUUAGCAUAUCAGGAGAUGUUCAUUGCUCCUUGGUUAUGGCCAAGGCUAGAGUUGCUUCUUCUAAAGUUACCACCAUACCAAGGCUGGAGUUAUCAGCUGCAGUAGUUGCUGUACAAACAAGUGACUUGCUCAGAAAGGAGCUGGAUAUAGCCAACCUAGAAGAGUACUUCUGGACUGACUCAAAAGUUGUCCUUGGAUACAUUAAUAAUGACGCCAAAAGAUUUCAUAUCUUUGUAGCAAACCGCAUUCAACGGAUUAAACAAAGCACAGAUACUAAACAAUGGAGAUAUGUGACGUCUAAAGAGAACCCUGCCGAUCAUGCGUCCAGGGGCCUUACAUCAGAAGAGCUCAUAUCCUCCAACUGGUUCACAGGACCAAGGUUUCUGUGGAAGGAUGAACUGCCCAGUGAUGUUAAGGUGGGAGAGAUCAUAGACAAUGACCCAGAGCUACGGAAAGCUCAAGUUCAUAAAACUCAAGCAAAAGAAGAAAGAUCAUUGCUUGAUCGACUUCAGAAGUUUUCAGAUUGGACAAGAGUGGUAAAAGCUAUUGCAAGACUUAAGAGAUGUUCCAGGGAAGUGAAAGGUCUAAGUUCAAGGGUUAAUGAAGCCACCAGUAUUGAAGAAAGACAGGAUGCAGAGCUUACCGUUAUCAGAAUGGUUCAACAAUCAGCCUUUUGUGAUGAGAUCCAGAGACUCCGGCAACAGAAGGAGAUUGAGUCCAGCACAAACAAACUGCAUCGCCUGAAUCCCUUCUUAGAUGAGCAUGGUAUCCUCAGGGUGGGAGGUCGCUUAGUACAUGCUGCAUUACACCCACAUGUGAAACACCCAGCAAUUCUCCCACGACAUAGUCAUAUAUCAACAUUACUCAUCAGACAUUAUCAUGAGCAAGUGUAUCACCAAGGGAGAGGAAUGACUAUAAAUGAACUGCGAUCAAACGGUUUCUGGAUCUUGGGAUGUAGCAAAGCAGUGUCUUCAUAUAUCUACAAAUGCACUAGGUGCAGGAAACUGAGAAGAUGCACUGAAGAGCAAAGGAUGGCGAAUCUUCCUCAGGAACGUAUGGAGACAACCCCUCCUUUCACAUACUGCGGGAUGGACUGUUUCGGUCCUUUCUACGUCAAAGAAGGAAGAAAGGAGUUGAAGCGUUAUGGGCUUCUACUUACAUGUAUGUGUUCCAGGGCGAUCCAUGUGGAAAUGCUGGAUGAUUUAUCUACUGACGCAUUCAUUAAUGCAUUGCGUGCUUUCAUUGCCAUACGUGGACCUGUACGUCAACUUAGAUCCGACCAGGGCACUAAUUUCGUGGGUGCAAGACGAGAAUUUGCUGAAGCACUAAAGGAAAUUAACCAAGAACGCCUAAAGGAGUUUGGCUGUGAAUUCAUCAUGAACACCCCAUCAGCCAGUCACAUGGGUGGCAUUUGGGAGAGGCAAAUUCGGACAAUAAGGAGUGUUUUGACAUCCAUUCUGGAUCAAUCGGCUCAAAGACUUGAUAGUGCCUCACUAAGAACAUUUCUCUAUGAAGUCAUGGCUAUCGUGAAUAGCAGACCCUUAACCACGGAGCAUCUGAAUGAUCCAUCAGGUCCGCAGCCUCUUACACCUAACCAUAUCUUGACUAUGAAGACUUCAAUAAUUUUACCACCACCUGGAGAAUUUGUCAAGGAAGACCUUUACCUUCAUAAGAGAUGGCGUAAGGUGCAGUAUUUAGCGAAUGAGUUCUGGUCACGUUGGAAAAAAGAAUAUCUUCUAAACCUGCAACACAGGCAGAAAUGGCACAAGCAUCGUAGAAAUGUAAAGGUCAAUGACAUUGUCAUUCUAAAAGAUGACACUGCUCCACGCAGUCGGUGGAAGCUAGCGAAGGUAACAGAAGUGCACAGUGGUACAGAUGGCUGUGUAAGAACAGUGAAGUUGUUGAUCAGUGAUUCGACAUUGGAUAAAAAGGGCAAACGUGUUACUAAACCGACUUACCUUGAAAGGCCCAUUCAGAAAAUAGUUACCCUGAUUGAAGCAGAUUAA
This 2724-nucleotide long non-coding RNA is filed under the name Carassius auratus (goldfish). RNAcentral describes it as "lncRNA (ENSCARG00000027543.1)". The record is from RNAcentral. Lineage: Eukaryota; Metazoa; Chordata; Actinopteri; Cypriniformes; Cyprinidae.